This 371-nucleotide ribosomal RNA is filed under the name uncultured organism. RNAcentral's name for it is "partial 16S ribosomal RNA". It matches the Rfam family "Bacterial small subunit ribosomal RNA", at positions 527 to 896 of the family's 1533-position model. The record is from RNAcentral.
GAACCGUCCAAACGUUAUUCGGAAUCACUGGGCUUAAAGGGUGCGUAGGCGGCGCGGCAAGUUGGGUGUGAAAUCCCUCGGCUCAACCGAGGAACUGCGCCCAAAACUGCCGUGCUCGAGGGAGACAGAGGUGAGCGGAACUGAUGGUGGAGCGGUGAAAUGCGUUGAUAUUAUCAGGAACACCGGUGGCGAAAGCGGCUCGCUGGGUCUCUUCUGACGCUGAGGCACGAAAGCUAGGGUAGCGAACGGGGAUUAGAUACCCCGGUAGUCCUAGCUGUAAACGAUGAGCACUAGAUCGGAGACUCCUCCAUAGGUUUCCGGUCCAAGCGAAAGUGUUAAGUGCUCCGCCUGGGGAUAUGGUCGCAAGGCUG